UAGUCCGAGUGGAUUGAGCGAGCUGAGUGGUUGUGUGGUCACAUCUUGGAAACCAGUAGUACUUGCAGCAUGGCUGACCAAUUGACUGAAGAGCAGACUGCAGAAUUCAAAGAAGCUUUUUCACUAUUUGACAAGGAUGGUGGUGGAACCAUAACAACAAAGGAAUUGGGAACUAUAACAAGGUCUCUUGGGCAGACUCCCACAGCAGCAGAGUUACAGGACAUGAUUAAUGAAGUAGAUGCUGAUGGUAACGGCACAAUUGAUUUCCCUGAAUUUCUGACCAUGAUGACAAGAAAAAUGAAAGACACAGACAGCAAAGAAGAAAUUAGAGAAGCAUUCCAUGUGUUUGAUAAGGAUGGCAAUGGCUCUAUUAGUGCAGGAGAGUUUCACCAUGUGAUGACAAACGUGGGAGAGAAGCUAACAAAGAGGUAGAUGAAGUGAGCAGGGAAGCAGAUAUUGAUGGUGAUGUUCAAGUAAACUAUGAAGAGUUUGUACAAAUGAUGACAGCAAAGUGAAGACACUGUACAGAAUGUGUUACAUUUCUUGUACAAAAUUGUUUAUUUGUCUUUU
This is an RNA transcript of Lemur catta (Ring-tailed lemur), 570 nucleotides long. It is a transcript of the gene named calmodulin-1-like, with no coding region annotated. The record is from RefSeq and is a predicted model, not a curated record. The transcript has a single exon. NCBI's taxonomy places the organism in Eukaryota, Metazoa, Chordata, Mammalia, Primates, Lemuridae.